This 455-nucleotide ribosomal RNA is filed under the name uncultured soil bacterium. Its description in RNAcentral is "bacterial SSU rRNA". It matches the Rfam family "Bacterial small subunit ribosomal RNA", at positions 26 to 478 of the family's 1533-position model. The record is from RNAcentral.
AGAUUGAACGCUGGCGGCAGGCCUAACACAUGCAAGUCGAGCGGCAGCACGGGUACUUGUACCUGGUGGCGAGCGGCGGACGGGUGAGUAAUGCCUAGGAAUCUGCCUGGUAGUGGGGGAUAACGCUCGGAAACGGACGCUAAUACCGCAUACGUCCUACGGGAGAAAGCAGGGGACCUUCGGGCCUUGCGCUAUCAGAUGAGCCUAGGUCGGAUUAGCUAGUUGGUGAGGUAAUGGCUCACCAAGGCGACGAUCCGUAACUGGUCUGAGAGGAUGAUCAGUCACACUGGAACUGAGACACGGUCCAGACUCCGUACGGAGCAGCAGUGGGAAUAGUGGACAAGUGGGCGAAAGCUGAUCCAGCCAAUGCCGCGUGUGUAGAAGUAGUCUUGGAUUGUAAAGCACUUUAAGUGGAGGAAGGUCAGUUACCUAAUACGUAUCUUGUUUGACGUUAC